RNAcentral lists this long non-coding RNA (1493 nucleotides) under Ananas comosus (pineapple). RNAcentral describes it as "long non-coding RNA (ACOM_LNC021435)". The record is from RNAcentral. Lineage: Eukaryota; Viridiplantae; Streptophyta; Magnoliopsida; Poales; Bromeliaceae.
UAUUGUAUAAGAUACCAGCGAAGACAUUUGCACGUUGCGGCGGGUCGAUUUUAGUAAAUAAAUAAAAAAAAACUUUAAGUAUAAGAAAUAAAUAAAAGAAGCUGAAAGAAAAUUUAAAAAAAAUAUAAAGAAUAAAAGAAAAGAUGGAAAAAUAAAAAAACUUAAACGGUUAAAAAAAUAAUAUUUUUUUAUUUCAAUUUUUAAUGCUUUUUUUUCCUCAUGUCUAAAUCUAUUUGAUAGAUUCAUGAUCGUAGUAUUAAAUUAAAUAAGAGAAAUUAAUUAUAAUAAGAGCAUGAUGUAACCCAAACUUAGAAAACCCUCUUAUGAUAUCAUAUUAAAUAAUACAAAAUAAUUAUUCAACUAAAUUACAGAAAUUUUUUUUUAUAAAAAUUCUUAUUUUUUACUUUUUCUUUCUAACUUUUCAAAAGCUCCAUUUUAUUCCUUCAAUAUUUCAAGUUAUUGUAUUUAGCCCUUUCCGUCAGAGUUCUAUAACUAUUCCGUCCAUUUUUUAUAAUUUAUACCGAAAAUAACUUUAAAAUGAUAAACAUAUAUUAAAAAAUAUUUUUUUCUUAUAGAAAAAAUAAGGGCAAUUCGAGCAUUUUUGCUAUCUUCAUCAACGCCAUACUUUUCUGAAAAUAUUUUUUAAAUUAUAAAAAAUUAAUAUAUAAAUUUUUAGAAGUCAAAAAAAAAAGUUUUAUAAAUUUUUUUUUGUAUUUUAGUUUAACUAUCUUAUUUCAAAACUUCAACUAUUUGUAACUUUAAAUUUUUAAAUUUGAGAUUUAAAAAUAUAGAUUUUAAUUUUAAAAUUUAAAUUUUGAAUUAUUAUUUUUAAUUAUUUAAAUUUUAAAUUUAAAUUCAAAUAUACUAAUUGGGACAAAAUUAUUAUUUUCUAUUUGUAACUAUCCACCAUCCUUUUUAUUUCACUUACUUUAACCAAACACUAUUUUACUUAUAUUUUGACUAAAUCCAAUUCUCAACCAAACACGAAAUUACUCUAACUCCACCUUAACUUUGAACUUAAUCUUAUUCCUGAAAUAACUAGUUCUUGCUUAAUCUCGAACCAAACGAAUCCUUAUAUUUAUCAGAACCGCCUACUUCUCACUGGGGAUGUCAAUGGGUAUGGGUACCCGAAAUUUUAUAUGAAUCCGAACCCGAAUGGAUAUAUCCGAUGCUAAAUGGUUAUAGAUUUGGAUAUGGAUAUCAAAAAUAGAAAUCCAAAAAUAUGAAUUCGGAUAUAGAUUUUGACUGUACCCAACCCGAACCUGAAUUUAUUUUGUAUUUUAUAUAUAUAUAUAUAUAUAUAUAUAUAUAUAUAUAUAUAUAUAUAUUUGAUGUUAUAUUUAAAUUUGUAUAAAAAUUUAAAUUUAUUAUAAUAUAUUUUAAAAUAUUGAAAAAAAGAAAAAUUGUUUCGGGUUCAAAUUUUCGGGUUCGGAUUUCAGAUUUUUGGUCGGGUUCGAAUUUGGAUAUGAAUUUUUAAAAUUCGUCUUAUUCGA